This 456-nucleotide ribosomal RNA is filed under the name Rothia dentocariosa. RNAcentral's name for it is "bacterial SSU rRNA". It matches the Rfam family "Bacterial small subunit ribosomal RNA", at positions 28 to 490 of the family's 1533-position model. The record is from RNAcentral. Lineage: Bacteria; Bacillati; Actinomycetota; Actinomycetes; Micrococcales; Micrococcaceae.
GACGAACGCUGGCGGCGUGCUUAACACGUGCAAGUCGAACGAUGAAGCCUAGCUUGCUAGGUGGAUUAGUGGCGAACGGGUGAGUAAUACGUGAGUGACCUACCUUUGACUCUGGGAUAAGCCUGGGAAACUGGGUCUAAUACCGGAUACGACCAAUCUCCGCAUGGGGUGUUGGUGGAAAGCGUUAUGGAGUGGUUUUAGAUGGGCUCACGGCCUAUCAGCUUGUUGGUGAGGUAAUGGCUUACCAAGGCGACGACGGGUAGCCGGCCUGAGAGGGUGACCGGCCACACUGGGACUGAGACACGGCCCAGACUCCUACGGGAGGCAGCAGUGGGGAAUAUUGCACAAUGGGCGCAAGCCUGAUGCAGCGACGCCGUGUGAGGGAUGACGGCCUUUCGGGUUGUAAACCUCUGUUAGCAUCGAAGAAGCGAAAGUGAUCGGUAGGUGCAGAGAAAG